UACAGAGGUCCCAAGCGUUGUUCGGAUUCAUUGGGCGUAAAGAGUGCGUAGGCGGCGCGGUAAGUCGGGUGUGAAAUCUUGGAGCUUAACUCCGAAACUGCAUUCGAUACUGCCGUGCUUGAGGACUGGAGAGGAGACUGGAAUUUACGGUGUAGCGGUGAAAUGCGUAGAUAUCGUAAGGAAGACCAGUGGCGAAGGCGGGUCUCUGGACAGUUCCUGACGCUGAGGCACGAAGGCCAGGGGAGCAAACGGG
RNAcentral lists this ribosomal RNA (253 nucleotides) under uncultured bacterium. RNAcentral's name for it is "partial 16S ribosomal RNA". It matches the Rfam family "Bacterial small subunit ribosomal RNA", at positions 524 to 776 of the family's 1533-position model. The record is from RNAcentral.